RNAcentral lists this long non-coding RNA (223 nucleotides) under Lathyrus oleraceus (garden pea). Its description in RNAcentral is "Pisum sativum (pea) long non-coding RNA (PSAT_LNC001143)". Lineage: Eukaryota; Viridiplantae; Streptophyta; Magnoliopsida; Fabales; Fabaceae. The record is from RNAcentral.
CUCAGUACCCAUACAUUUGGCUUGUUUGUCGAGGUUGAUAUGACCCCUUGACUAAAGCUCGGCUUGUUUGUCGAGGUUGAUAUGACCCCUUGACUAAAGCCCAACUUUGUCUGAGCCUCUUGCUUGUGUAUAGAGUGUGCUAAUUGAUUGUUGUGAUUGCUUAUGUUUGCUUUUGCAUAUUGUUUUGCAUAUUGUUUUUGCAUUUAUUAUUUGCUUUGUUUGA